This 118-nucleotide ribosomal RNA is filed under the name Lepisosteus oculatus (spotted gar). The record is from RNAcentral. Lineage: Eukaryota; Metazoa; Chordata; Actinopteri; Semionotiformes; Lepisosteidae.
GCCAGCAGCCAUGUCACCCUGCACCUUAUAGCUAGCAGCCCACUAAAGCUCAGCAGGUGGGAGCCUGAUCAGUACCUGGAUGGGAGACCUCCUGGGAAAGAUGAGGUUGCUGCUGAAA